This 26-nucleotide non-coding RNA is filed under the name Mus musculus (house mouse). RNAcentral also lists the same sequence under 1 other name. Lineage: Eukaryota; Metazoa; Chordata; Mammalia; Rodentia; Muridae. The record is from RNAcentral.
UAGGACAGGGAUCAUGUCUUAUUUAU